This 492-nucleotide unclassified non-coding RNA is filed under the name Hevea brasiliensis (rubber tree). The record is from RNAcentral. Lineage: Eukaryota; Viridiplantae; Streptophyta; Magnoliopsida; Malpighiales; Euphorbiaceae.
GGAAUCGGCCCGUUAGCCAGGCCUACGUGCAUGUGUAAGUGGGGGCAUUAUUUGUUUUACCACUAUCAAAUCUACAAUAAAUAUAUCCAUUUUAUCCAAAUGUGUCAUUCCAAAUAAAGUGCUAACAAAACCGAAAACCAUAAGAUUGCAAUGAAAUGUUAAGAAAGAUCAAAAUGCUCAAGUCUUAUAUUGAGACCAAGAGAUGGGAUGCAUUUGAAGACGAAGAAAGAACCUCCAAUAACCACUCCAAGAAGUUCUACCCACCUAAUGCACACAUUUAGAGAGAUAAUAAAUAAGAACCUUCCAUCCCCAUGCUUCUUAUAAACUAUAAACGAACACACACAUAAAUGCUUCUUUGAACAAAGAAGAAUUCUAUUAAGCGUUUGUUAGGCAUCACUGUUGGAGCUGCCGUUGAAAAACAUUUUUUUAAACAUAUUAUUUAAAGAGUAUUAAAAAAAGAUUUAAUAUUAAAUUUGAUAAGUUUUAGACAUA